This 460-nucleotide ribosomal RNA is filed under the name uncultured bacterium. RNAcentral's name for it is "partial 16S ribosomal RNA". It matches the Rfam family "Bacterial small subunit ribosomal RNA", at positions 338 to 795 of the family's 1533-position model. The record is from RNAcentral.
CCUACGGGAGGCAGCAGUGAGGAAUAUUGGUCAAUGGGCGCGAGCCUGAACCAGCCAAGUCGCGUGAGGGAAGACGGCCCUACGGGUUGUAAACCUCUUUUGCCGGGGAGCAACGAGCGCCACGUGUGGCGCCACUGGGAGUACCCGGCGAAAAAGCAUCGGCAAACUCCGUGCCAGCAGCCCCGGUACUACGAAGGAUGCAAGCGUUAUCCGGAUUUAUGGGGUUUAAGGGGUGCUGAGGCGGAGCGUUCAGUCAGUGGUCAAAUCGAGGGGCUCAACCCCUUCCCGCCAUUGAAACUGGCGCUCUUGAGUGGAAGAGAAGUAUGCGGAAUGCGUGGUGUAGCGGUGAAAUGCAUAGAUAUCACGCAGAACCCCGAUUGCGAAGGCAGCAUGCCGGCUUCCGACUGACGCUGAAGCACGAAAGCGUGGGGAUCGAACAGGAUUAGAUACCCUUGUAGUC